This 379-nucleotide ribosomal RNA is filed under the name Penaphlebia sp. BYU IGCEP076. Its description in RNAcentral is "partial 12S ribosomal RNA". Lineage: Eukaryota; Metazoa; Arthropoda; Insecta; Ephemeroptera; Leptophlebiidae. The record is from RNAcentral.
UAAACUACGAUUAGAUACCCUAUUAUAACAUUUGUAGGAAAUUAAACCAGAGUAAUAAUAGGUAUGUACUUUAAACUCAAAGAAUUUGGCGGUGUUUUAGUCCACUCAGAGGAACUUGCCCCGUAAUCGAUAAUCCCCGUUCUAAGUUAUUUAGUUUUGUUCGAGCUUGUAUACCGCUGUCAUAAGGGUAUUCUAAGAGGAAUUACCCUAAAAUUUAUAAUUAAAAAGAUGUCAAGUCAAGGUGCAGCCAAUGACUAAAGGGAGGUGAGUUACAAUAAGUAAAUUUACACGGAAGUGAUUUGUAAAUUAGCGGAAGGUGGAUUUGAGGGUAAUGAAAAAUAGAAACUUUUUGUGAAAAGGCUCUAAAACAUGCACACAU